RNAcentral lists this ribosomal RNA (426 nucleotides) under uncultured bacterium. RNAcentral describes it as "bacterial SSU rRNA". It matches the Rfam family "Bacterial small subunit ribosomal RNA", at positions 354 to 796 of the family's 1533-position model. The record is from RNAcentral.
GUUGGGAAUCUUGCGCAAUGGGCGAAAGCCUGACGCAGCGACGCCGCGUGCGGGAUGACGAGCUUCGGCUUGUAAACCGCUUUUCUCGGGGACGACAUCCGACGGUACCCGAGGAAUCAGCCCCGGCUAACUCCGUGCCAGCAGCCGCGGUAAGACGGGGGGGGCGAGCGUUGUCCGGAAUUACUGGGCGUAAAGGGCGCGUAGGCGGUCGCGUACGGCGGUGGUGAAAGCUCCCGGCUCAACUGGGAGAGGUCCGCCGCAACGGCGCGACUCGAGGGUGGUAGAGGCGGAUGGAAUUCCUGGUGUAACGGUGAAAUGUGUAGAGAUCAGGAGGAACACCCGUGGCGAAGGCGGUCCGCUGGGCCAUGCCUGACGCUGAGGCGCGAAAGCCAGGGGAGCGAACGGGAUUAGAAACCCGUGUAGUCC